GAGAGCGAGCAGUGAUCAAGUUAUUGUAGUCCAGGUUGGGAUACUGAUGCUGACUCACAAUUACAACAUUUCGGUUUGAAGGCGGAUUCUACACAUGCAAAGAAUUGCCCGUUAAAAGAUGGCCUAUAAGACUACUUUAACAUGUCACCAAACAACUAUAUCUAUCAUGAAGAGGCGGGGCUGCUUCCUAGUGCCCAG
This 198-nucleotide unclassified non-coding RNA is filed under the name Mizuhopecten yessoensis (Yesso scallop). RNAcentral's name for it is "heparan sulfate glucosamine 3-O-sulfotransferase 1- like, transcript variant X4". The record is from RNAcentral. Lineage: Eukaryota; Metazoa; Mollusca; Bivalvia; Pectinida; Pectinidae.